AGCUCAGCACUGGGCUUAAAGCGUGCGCAGGCGGUUUUGUAAGACAGAGGUGAAAUCCCCGGGCUCAACCUGGGAACUGCCCUUGUGACUGCAAGGCUGGAGUGCGGCAGAGGGGGAUGGAAUUCCGCGUAUAGCAGUGAAAUGCGUAGAUAUGCGGAGGAACACCGAUGGCGAAGGCAAUCCCCUGGGCCUGCACUGACGCUCAUGCACGAAAGCGUGGGGAGCAAACA
This 230-nucleotide ribosomal RNA is filed under the name uncultured Alicycliphilus sp. RNAcentral's name for it is "partial 16S ribosomal RNA". It matches the Rfam family "Bacterial small subunit ribosomal RNA", at positions 553 to 774 of the family's 1533-position model. The record is from RNAcentral. Lineage: Bacteria; Pseudomonadati; Pseudomonadota; Betaproteobacteria; Burkholderiales; Comamonadaceae.